GCAUAUCAAUAAGCGGAGGAAAAGAAACCAACAGGGAUUGCCCUAGUAACGGCGAGUGAAGCGGCAACAGCUCAAAUUUGAAAUCUGGCGCAAGCCCGAGUUGUAAUUUGUAGAGGAUGCUUCUGGGCAGCGGCCGGUCUAAGUCCCUUGGAACAGGGCGUCAUAGAGGGUGAGAAUCCCGUAUGCGACCGGCUGGCACCCGUCACGUAGCUCCUUCGACGAGUCGAGUUGUUUGGGAAUGCAGCUCUAAAUGGGAGGUAAAUUCCUUCUAAAGCUAAAUACCGGCCAGUGACCGAUAGCGCACAAGUAGAGUGAUCGAAAGAUGAAAAGCACUUUGGAAAGAGAGUUAAAAAGCACGUGAAAUUGUUGAAAGGGAAGCGCAUGCAACCAGACUUGUCGGCGGUGUUCCGCCGGUCUUCUGACCGGUCUACUCGCCGUCGGCAGGCCAGCAUCAUCUGGGUGCGCCGGAUAAAGGCGUGGGGAAUGUGGCCCCUCGGGGUGUUAUAGCUCCACGCACAAUACGGCGCCGCCCGGGUGAGGUCCGCGCUUCGGCUAGGAUGCUGGCGUAAUGGUUGCCUGCGACCCGUCUUGAAACACGGACCAAGGAGUCUAACAUCUAUGCGAGUGUUCGGGUGUCAAACCCCUACGCGGAAUGAAAGUGAACGGAGGUGGGAAGCUUCGGCUGCACCAUCGACCGAUCCUGAUGUCCUCGGAUGGAUUUGAGUAAGAGCAUAGCUGUUGGGACCCGAAAGAUGGUGAACUAUGCCUGAAUAGGGUGAAGCCAGAGGAAACUCUGGUGGAGGCUCGCAGCGGUUCUGACGUGCAAAUCGAUCGUCAAAUUUGGGUAUAGGGGCGAAAGACUAAUCGAACCAUCUAGUAGCUGGUUCCUGCCGA
RNAcentral lists this ribosomal RNA (894 nucleotides) under Parateratosphaeria marasasii. RNAcentral describes it as "LSU rRNA". It matches the Rfam family "Eukaryotic large subunit ribosomal RNA", at positions 38 to 964 of the family's 3401-position model. The record is from RNAcentral. Lineage: Eukaryota; Fungi; Ascomycota; Dothideomycetes; Mycosphaerellales; Teratosphaeriaceae.